Flavihumibacter sp. CACIAM 22H1 is the source of this 376-nucleotide non-coding RNA. Lineage: Bacteria; Pseudomonadati; Bacteroidota; Chitinophagia; Chitinophagales; Chitinophagaceae. The record is from Rfam.
GGGGCUGUACUGGUUUCGACAGCGUAGUUCUUUGAGAGUGUAAGCAUGCCGUGCGUUGGAUAAUUAGCACGUAAAUCUGAAUACCCGAACUUCAAAUGGCAAUACACAGUAUGCCAUGGCUGCCUAAUCAGUGAUUAAGUAGUCAUUAGGGCCGCGUUGAGCAGGUUGACCUGUUACCAAGCUCCGCCGCCGACUCAAAACCAAAUACAGGUUGCUGUUCAACCAGGCUGUGCGUUGAACAAAAGACUAUCCAGCUAAGGAAGGAAUCGGUUGGUUGUUUUCCUGUUCUUUCCCGACAACGAAUAAUCAACUAAGCAUGUAGAAAGCUUUCGGCGAAUAUGUUUGGACGGGGGUUCGACUCCCCCCAGCUCCACUU